AGUGAACGCUGGCGGUAGGCCUAACACAUGCAAGUCGAACGGCAACACAGUAAGAGCUUGCUCUUACGGGUGGCGAGUGGCGGACGGGUGAGGUAUACAUCGGAAUCUACUUUUUCGUGGGGGAUAACGUAGGGAAACUUACGCUAAUACCGCAUCCGACCUACGGGUGAAAGCAGGGGAUCUUCGGACCUUGCGCGAUUGAAUGAGCCGAUGUGGGAUUAGCUAGUUGGCGGGGUAAAGGCCCACCAAGGCGACGAUCCGUAGCUGGUCUGAGAGGAUGAUCAGCCACACUGGAACUGAGACACGGUCCAGACUCCUACGGGAGGCAGCAGUGGGGAAUAUUGGACAAUGGGCGCAAGCCUGAUCCAGCCAUACCGCGUGGGUGGAGAAGGCCUUCGGGUUGUAAAGCCCUUUUGUUGGGAAAGAAAAGCAGCAGGUUAAUACCCCGCUGUUUUGACGGUACCCAAAGAAUAAGCACCGGCUAACUUCGUG
This 492-nucleotide ribosomal RNA is filed under the name uncultured bacterium. Its description in RNAcentral is "partial 16S ribosomal RNA". It matches the Rfam family "Bacterial small subunit ribosomal RNA", at positions 29 to 507 of the family's 1533-position model. The record is from RNAcentral.